RNAcentral lists this transfer RNA (82 nucleotides) under bacterium. RNAcentral's name for it is "tRNA-Leu". It matches the Rfam family "tRNA". From Rfam's summary of the family: Transfer RNA (tRNA) molecules are approximately 80 nucleotides in length. Their secondary structure includes four short double-helical elements and three loops (D, anti-codon, and T loops). Further hydrogen bonds mediate the characteristic L-shaped molecular structure. tRNAs have two regions of fundamental functional importance: the anti-codon, which is responsible for specific mRNA codon recognition, and the 3' end, to which the tRNAs corresponding amino acid is attached (by aminoacyl-tRNA synthetases). tRNAs cope with the degeneracy of the genetic code in two manners: having more than one tRNA (with a specific anti-codon) for a particular amino acid; and 'wobble' base-pairing, i.e. permitting non-standard base-pairing at the 3rd anti-codon position. The record is from RNAcentral.
GCCCGGGUGGUGGAACUGGUUUACACGCACGACUUAAGAUCGUGUGCCGCAAGGCAUGUGGGUUCGAAUCCCACUCCGGGCA